RNAcentral lists this ribosomal RNA (326 nucleotides) under Echinolittorina pulchella. Its description in RNAcentral is "partial 12S ribosomal RNA". The record is from RNAcentral. Lineage: Eukaryota; Metazoa; Mollusca; Gastropoda; Littorinimorpha; Littorinidae.
UUAGAUAUAAAUAGUAUUUACUCGAGUACUACGAACAAACGUUUAAAACUCAAAGAGCUUGGCGGUGCUUUAGACUUCUCAGGGGAACCUGUCUCGUAAUCGACAGUCCACGAAUCAACCUCACCUUUGACAGUAUGUAUACCGUCGUCGUCGGGUAACUUUUAAAAAUAUAGAAGUUAGCAGGUUUCUACGUCAGAUCAAGGUGCAGCCUAUAGAAAGGAGAAGAUGGGUUACAAUUAAGAUUUAUAAUUACGGAUACUAGUUCUUGAAGGCGGACUUGAAAGUAUGAAUUAGUAGUCAAAUGUUUUGAAUCCAGCUCUGAAGCG